Molecule: long non-coding RNA, 1442 nt
Organism: Bactrocera dorsalis (oriental fruit fly)
Lineage: Eukaryota; Metazoa; Arthropoda; Insecta; Diptera; Tephritidae
Exons: 2
Source: RefSeq, a predicted model, not a curated record
UUUUAUUAUUUUUAAAUUCUAUUCAUUGAAUAUUGCAAAACAUCAAAACAACAUCUAAAAUCUAAAGCAAAAUUUUCUGUAUAUUUCAUAACAAGCACAAUUUUUUUUAAACGUAAAAACGUAUUAUAGUACCUACUAGAAAUUUUGAAAAAUCCAAAUAAAAUGUCUCUAUUCUUACACAAUUGUUGAGUCAGCUAAUUUAUAUAAUUUUCUAACUUAUUUUUACACAAAACAAUGUAUUUUGACCAAUUUUUACGCAUUUUAUCCCAUCAAAUUAUUUUUUUACCCGUCAAUGUAAGCGCGUUCUUUAAGCGGAUAUUUAAUUAAAAAAUUAAAUUUGUUCGUAAGUACACAAAACAUGCAUACAUACAUAUGUAGGAACAAAACAUCGUAGAUUAUAUAAUUGAAAGUAGGGUGAAACAUUGCAUAUUACACAACUAGAUUAAAAAGAAUGAAGCGAGCUUUGUUUGUGUUUUGUGAGGCUGUUUAAAAUACAUAACAGAAAUCAAAAUUCGUUGCUAAAGCAUUACAAUUAAUUAAAUAAAAUUAGAAAAUUUAAAUUGACGGGUAAAGAAAUAAUUUGAAGCAAUAAAAUACGUUAAAAUUGAUCACCGUGGGUACGCGAGCUAAUUGCUAAGGCAAUUUUAAGACAUUUAAAACUAUGAGCUACUCUUCUUUAGGAUAACAUAAGGAUCUGCGGCAGAAAAAUAAAAGAUGUUUAUGUAUCCUAUACAUAUAUGACGUGAAGUGACAAAUGGAAUAUUUUGUUCAACAGACAAUAACGAGGAUUGUUUGAAAAUUUAUGUAAUGUUUAACUGCCUAUAAAAGCAACAAGCAAUUUAAAUUUUAAGCUUAGUUUUAAUAACAGAAGAAAAUAUUUUAAGUUUUCUGGUCUACAUUGUGGGAAACACGAAUUGCAGAACAAAACAGAAUCGAUGACAACUUGCAGAUUCAUUUAGACACCGGAAUUUGUAGUUUCCGGAAUGUUCGCCGUGGCGAUCAACGCGUGGAGUCCGUAUGGCAGCAGACAUGCGUAGUUCUAAUUAGAGUGUUGCCGAACAAAGUGGGGGAAACAUGGGGAUAUAUCCGUUUUGAAAGCUAAACCUAGCUGAAUAAGGUAAUACUAUAGGUGAGUUUUACAUUUACAUCUCUCAAUGUUUCAGAAGUCUUAGAAAAAUUAUGUGAAUGAAUAAUAAUGGAUAUACUACUGAUACACUUCUUGCGAAAAUAGGCAGAAUUGAUCUACAAAUCACCCUAACUCCCAAAUGCUAUAUAUAAUGACUAGAGGACCCGUCCACGCUUCGCUGUAGCUGAUACAUAGAUAAUACUACUACUACCAUCUAUAUGACUUAUAUUAGUUGGAUUAUAACUAUUAGUUAAUGAGAUAUAGCUUUUUUGUGAAGCAACUUGUGUAAGUUUACAAAAAAAAUUGAUGAUAAUGA